Molecule: transfer RNA, 29 nt
Filed under: Lorentziella imbricata
Lineage: Eukaryota; Viridiplantae; Streptophyta; Bryopsida; Gigaspermales; Gigaspermaceae
Description: partial tRNA-Ser
Source: RNAcentral
CGGAAAGAGAGGGAUUCGAACCCCUCGGU